This is a long non-coding RNA of Heterocephalus glaber (naked mole-rat), 1649 nucleotides long. The record is from Ensembl. NCBI's taxonomy places the organism in Eukaryota, Metazoa, Chordata, Mammalia, Rodentia, Bathyergidae.
GGGCUUUACAGAGGGAGAUUUGCUGAGAGGGUGACUUGUUAAAGGUCGCAGUCAUUUUUGUAGUGGUUGGAAGUGCUAUGAAUGGUGGAAAAUGUCAACUCACAGAUUCUACUCUUCUUCUUGUCCCCCUCCCCCUUUCUCCCUCUGUAAGCCAGGGGUGGGUCUAAAUGGCUUUGGUGGAGAGGUUAGCACAUCCCAAUCUAAAUAGGAAGUUUGGUGUCUCUCCCUCCUCCCUUCCUUCCCACCUUCCUUAUUCCUUUCCUUUGUUUCUAAAGGAUGUGUUUGUAUGCAUUCUGGACGUUUGAAUUAAAAACAAAAAUAUUGUGAUCCAGAAAAGGAUCACUAGAGAUGUGGACAAAUCAUUAAAAUUACAGAGCUAUAUGAUCCAUAAUUGAUUAGUCAAAAUAACUUAUUGAUGAAAUAUACAAAUAUUUUAUUGUAGCACCUAUUUUUAUAUGCACAUUUAGCAUUCCUCUUUCCUUCACUAUUUAGCCUAUGAUUUUCGCAGAGGUGUCACAUUGUAUCAGGAGCUGCGUUUCCAAAACUGAAGUGAUUAUCCAGAAGGCAUUUUAGAUCAUUAAAAAUAUGGAGCACUUAAUGGCAAAAUCUUUAAAAGCCAAUGCAACCCACUCAGUUGAACCUGUAUUUUUCUAUACUGAUUGUAUCCCACUGUAUAAAAGAAAAAAAGUUAGGGUGACUAAUUGGGCCAUUCAAGAGAAUUGUGUGCAAGAUUUUGGUUUUAUUAGAGAAGAUUUAAAAGUAUUUUUAUUAGUGAACCAAAACUGUGUAUUGAUUUGACUACUAUUGUAGCCGAGUUUCAAUUGUUUAGCCAAACCCACUUGCAUUUGUACAGAUCCACAUGUACUGGCACCUCAGAAGACCAAAAGACAGCCUGUUACAAGUCUUAUACAACAAUGUCUUUAUCCCUCUGGGCAGCGAGCAAUGAUGAUAAUGACAAACAGGAUCUCUGUAUGAUGGGGCUACUGUUGUUACAGUCUCAUAUGUAUCCCAGCACAUGUAAUUUUUUAAAUAGUUUCUGAAUAAACACUUGAUAACUAUGUCAAAUAUGAGGGAUUGAAGUAAUGAUUACUCGAGGUGCACAAGACUUAGCUAUGUGUGAUUGGUGGAACCUUCAUAAUUAACAAUUUAAAAUAUACUACAUAAACUUUAUUCCUAAUAGAAAAAGUUUUCCUGUUAAUUAUAAUAAUUUCAAAAUAUACAUAUGUAUAAUUAAUGUUUUUCUUGGUUCAGGGAAGUAUGUUUUUCUGCUGCCAUUUAAUGUGCUUAUUUAUGAUAUUUCACUUGAUUACAUUAUUUCCUUACUGAAGUAUUCAUCUAAUACAAGGAGCAUGGGCUCUGGACAUCAUAAGGGAAGCAGUCACUUAAGAAGUAUGUUAUCAUGAAAGAAUAAUUACCACUUACACCAGAAGCUUUCCAGAAAUGUCCAAUUUCUGAUACCUUUGAAAAACGUGCUAAGGUUCAGUCCAGUGAAAAUGUCAAACAUAAAGUAUUAUAAGAAUUUCUUUUAGGAUGGAGACUAUAACUUAGAAAAUCUGAUCUAUAGAAUUCGGACCUAAAUUGUUUUUUUAAAGGGGAGUUAAUUCUCAGGAAUUUUUCAAUAUAUUUGAGCAAAAUAAUCUGUAGAUGCC